This 196-nucleotide small nuclear RNA is filed under the name Helianthus annuus (common sunflower). Its description in RNAcentral is "U2 spliceosomal RNA". It matches the Rfam family "U2 spliceosomal RNA". Rfam says of the family: U2 is a small nuclear RNA (snRNA) component of the spliceosome (involved in pre-mRNA splicing). Complementary binding between U2 snRNA (in an area lying towards the 5' end but 3' to hairpin I) and the branchpoint sequence (BPS) of the intron results the bulging out of an unpaired adenosine, on the BPS, which initiates a nucleophilic attack at the intronic 5' splice site, thus starting the first of two transesterification reactions that mediate splicing. The record is from RNAcentral. Lineage: Eukaryota; Viridiplantae; Streptophyta; Magnoliopsida; Asterales; Asteraceae.
AUACCUUUCUCGGCCUUUUGGCUAAGAUCAAGUGUAGUAUCUGUUCUUAUCAGUUUAAUAUCUGAUACGUGGGCCAUUGGUCCGCUCGAUAUUAAUCUUAUUUUUUAUGGGGAAAGGUCCAUCACAAUAGCUUGCUAUUGGGGCCUUUGAGCGUCGCCUAGGCGUUGCACUACUGCCUUGGCCUGGCGCACCCCUC